This 600-nucleotide ribosomal RNA is filed under the name uncultured bacterium. Its description in RNAcentral is "bacterial SSU rRNA". It matches the Rfam family "Bacterial small subunit ribosomal RNA", at positions 52 to 650 of the family's 1533-position model. The record is from RNAcentral.
CACAUGCAAGUCGAACGGAGCACCCUUGACUGAGGUUUCGGCCAAAUGAUAGGAAUGCUUAGUGGCGGACUGGUGAGUAACGCGUGAGGAACCUGCCUCAAAGAGGGGGACAACAGUUGGAAACGACUGCUAAUACCGCAUGACGCAUAGAGGUCGCAUGAUCUUUAUGCCAAAGAUUUAUCGCUUCAAGAUGGCCUCGCGUCUGAUUAGCUAGUUGGCGGGGUAACGGCCCACUAAGGCGACGAUCAGUAGCCGGACUGAGAGGUUGAACGGCCACAUUGGGACUGAGAUACGGCCCAGACUCCUACGGGAGGCAGCAGUGGGGAAUAUUGGGCAAUGGGCGCAAGCCUGACCCAGCAACGCCGCGUGAAGGAAGAAGGCUUUCGGGUUGUAAACUUCUUUUAAGAGGGAAGAGCAGAAGACGGUACCUCUAGAAUAAGCCACGGCUAACUACGUGCCAGCAGCCGCGGUAAUACGUAGGUGGCAAGCGUUGUCCGGAUUUACUGGGUGUAAAGGGCGUGCAGCCGGGUCUGCAAGUCAGAUGUGAAAUCCAUGGGCUCAACCCAUGAACUGCAUUUGAAACUGUAGAUCUUGAGUGUC